AGUGGUAGGACAGGAAACACUUUCCUUAAAACUCUGCAACAUUUCUACCCCAAAGCACUGUCGUGCUGUCCUUGAGGGCCUUCAGACUUGGCGUUGCCUCAGACUCCUGAUGGAUGGACGCAUGAGCUGGUACACACUCCCACAGCAAGCCUGUUUCAUCGGCACCAAAUAUUUGCUCUAGCAAAUACUUCUCAUCCGCAGUUGUCCUAGGCAGCUCUUCCUUAAAAGCCUUGGCAUCUUCAGGACCAGCGCUUGCCGCCUCACCACUGACCUUCACACUAGAACUGUGAUGCUUUUUGGAGCUUAGCAACCAUCUAGGACUACCUGGAAACAUUCACGGCUUUGCUUCCUGGUUUCCACAGGUUGAGCAGAUUUCCUCUGCCACCCACUUCUGCCAUAUUGUUUUUCUCUUGGAGAAUGGCGACCAUGAACCGACUCCUCUGAAUCAUGAGCCAAAAUAAACCUCUCCUUUAAAUUAUGGGUAUCGCUCUAGCAAAUACCCAACCUUCAUGCUGGGCAAUUAUAUUAUUGUAGCUCAAGGAUAAUUGCUUUUGUCUUCUCACCAGAAGUUCAAGACUCAGAUAGGAAGUUUUAUUGACAUGAUGGAAUAUUGAAGGACAAAGUUUGCUGUAAUCUUGGUUUGCUCCCCCUGGGAUGCUGCAGCGGGAGCCCUGGUGCUCCUGCCCAGGCAUGUGAGGGAGGAUCUCACUGCCUAUUGCUGGCCGAGGAAAAGAAGCACGGUUUCUACGUAGUGCGCAUCACCCUUACGUCAUCCUUGGUGAGCUGUCAUUUGUUGGGGACCGUCGGUAUUAACAUCCUGCUCUCCACUCACCUGGUCCUGUGAAGAGUUCCUACAACUCCACUCUGGCCCUAUAAUUUCUGGCUGUUUCCACAUAUGGUUUUCCUAGCUUUCUGCUUUGAACAAAUUAUAAACUUAUGAGAAAUUGAAAAAAAUGGGUCCAGAGAGGUCCUGCAGACCUGUCACUUGGUUUCCCCCAAAGAUGGCAUCUGACUACUGUGCAUUAUCAAAACUAGAAAGCAGACACCAGCACAACAUAAUUAAGGAGACCAGAGGCCAUCUCCGAAGCUUCUAUACCUGACCUUCACGAGUCCUCUGCUCUGCAUCCUGCUGUGCCACCCGCUCCUGCCCGACACUCGCCUGCUCAUUUUAGUCACGGUCAGUGGCAGCAGCUUGCACUACAUGCACACGAGCCCGCAGCACAUGGAGAGACUCAGGCGAGGCAGGGCUCUCUGUAAGCGGAGCUCGGUUGGAGAGGGAGGACGUGCUCUAUGGCACCUGUUUCUCUCUCUCCUCCUUCCUCCAUAUCAUCCUCCCCUCUUUUCACCUUUUCUCCUUUUUUUCUGCCUACCCUUUCGUCCCCUGCCUCCUCUCCUCCUCCUCCUCUUUCUCUCCACCUCUGCCCAUCCUCCCCCUUAUCCCCUGGCCCUCCCCUCCCCUCUCCUCCUUUCUUCCUUCUGCCACAUCUCUCUGUCCAUCUCCGUCUGUAUCUUUGUCUCUUUGGCUCUCCCUCUGUGUCUCUGUCUCUAUCUCUGUCUGUCUCCUUCUCUCUCCCUCUGUAUCUCAGUCUCUCUCUGCCUCUUUCUCCUCCCCUCCCCUCUCCUCUCCUCCCCUUCCUUCCUCUUCCCUUCCCCACCUCUCUCCCUCAACUGUGAGCCCCUUGAAGGCAAAGAGUGUUUAUUUGAACUGUUAAGGCACUGUCUGAGUGUCCACGCUCCCUCCACCCAUAAUAAUCUGCUUCCUCUCAAAACCCCCAGCUCCUCCCAUACCCCUGUCACUACAACAUCUGGAAAGCAGCUGUCCUGACCUCGACUUUGUGGGUGCAGAAGCUGGGGCUCCAUGUGAUGACGACCAGCCCGCAUCAGCUCCGUCUCCUCCUGGCAGUGCGCUGUCCUUGCAUUCCCGGGACCUGACUCCCUGGACAGGUUCUCACCUGUGCAAUGGUGCGGGACGUCCAUCUUGCUCACAGCACAGGGUGCCCUGGUGACGGAGACCAGAGGCCACGGCACCGUGAUGGUGGAGCUUGGCAGACUGCUGAGCACCCGGACACCCAGCGCCUGCCCUGCUGCUCCUGCUGCUGGACAGACUGCUCUCACGCCUCUGCUCUUCUCUCCCCAGUCAGCCUGGAACCUCGGCCUCCAGGGCCCUCCCGGGCACACAGGAGGCAGCGAACUCAGACCCCUCUCUGCUCACCACGCGCUCCCUUUGCUGCAGUGUCCCCACCUUGUGCUUGGAGAGCCCGGUGUCCGUGCCCGCUCACGGAUGGUGCAUGUUCACCCUUGUUCUACCUAAGAGGAAACCAAGGCUUACGGAAGUGGACCUGGCCUGCCCAGCGUGGUGAAACGGGCACAUCUGGGUGCCGAACAUGUCUGUCUGACUGCAGGUGCAGUGCCUUCCAGCCAAAUCCUCUUAUUCUCAAAAUGUGUGAAAGCCAAGUCUGUGACCAUCUUUCCUCUGACCCGCUCGCUAUCUUCCUAAGAGAUGCUAUUAUCGUUUCUUGAGUUUCCUCCCAGAGUUAUCCUUGCAUGAAAUGCGUUUUUCUUUUGCUCACAUUUUCCAUGUUUUUGCUUUUCCACUUAACGGUGGGCCUUGGGAGAUCUUCCUAUAACGUUUAUAGGCGUUUCUUCCUAUGUUUAGUUGGCUAAGACUCUAUUAUGAGGAGGGAUUAUCAUUUACUGACAAAUGAGUAUGUACAUUCAGAUAUUUCCUGAGCCCUGCCCCAACACUCCUGCACUGAUGAUCCUUGCAUUUACAUUGUUCUGCACCCCUGUAAGCACAUUUGUACAAAAGCCCUUAGAAGCCAAAUUUAUGGGUCAAAGGGAGUGCGCGUGUACAUUUGGAAUUAUGAAAGUUACUAGCGCUUUGCUCUCUGUGGGGUUUGCACCAGUUUACAGCGCUCCUCCGGGUUAUGCCCUCUUGGAACAGGCGCCAAGGUCGAGGUCUGCAGGAGGCGCUCUGGGGACGCAGCCCUCUCCUUCCAAGGCGGCACAGGGUUCCGGGAUUUCUUGCACUCCAACCUUUUCUCUUCCCAGAAAGUUCCCAGAUGUUUCACUGCCCUGCCAGGGAGAGGAAGACGCUUUCCCGGAUGAGAGAUGGGAGUCUGUCUGCGUCUUGGCAGACUGCAAAGGGAUUUUACAGCUGGAGGAGCUGGUGGUGGAGGCAGGCCCCAGGCUUCGGUUAAAUAUUAAUGUGACAACGCUUGGCAUGGAGGAUUGAAAGACUGGCCUGGAACCUACUGACCAUGGGCCCACAUGCAGGAGGGUCGUGCAUUGAGGGGAAGGUGCAUAAUGCUCCCUUGGGAUGGCUGAGUGUGGAGUGCACCCUCAGGGGUGAGGGGAGAGAGAAAACAGCCUAGGCAUGACCCUGGCCCAGAACAAGAGCUCAAUAAAUGGCUGUUGUGGUUGCUGUCAUUUUGUCCAAUGGUUUCAGUUUCUUCUUCCAUUUCAGCCACAUCCUUCCCCUUCUUCUGAGCAUUUAUUUCUUCCCCCUCCCUUUGGUGACCCAGAGAGAUAGGUGUGAGGUCGCUGGAGGCCCUGCUGGGCACAUGUGCUGACGCUUCCUGAGUGCAAGACCUCAGGGCACAGUGUGCGGAGCCGGAGCUGAGGACAGGGAGUGAGACGGUCCCGGGAAAUGGUCAACUUCAUAGCUGCCGCUUCAGGCGCUAAAACAGAUGUCAUAGCAGAGUCUGCCUCAGCGGAUUUGGAUCCAGAAGCAUUAUAUCCGGGGGAUCCAGAGAUGCGAGAAACAGGGACAUGACCUGAGGCUUCUCACAGCAGCUGGGACACCGCCCCAAAGGGAGCAACGGUGACCAAGGGGAAGUGGUUCUCUCUUGCUCUCUCACACUCCCUUCCAUUGCUCUGGGAUCUGCUUAGGUCUGAGCUCUGGGACCAUGCAUUCUCUGACGUCCCUGCUAGCCCACAUCCACUUCUCAGGCUCCUUUGCAGGUCGCUCCUGCCUCUUCAGCCUCCUCCAGGCCUCUUCAGUGAGCAGCGGUACCACUGGGUUUCUGGCGAAGGCUUUUCCUGCACCAGGACCCCCUGCCACGCUGUUUCUUCUUUGGAGUUCAACUCUGAACCGAAACCAACCUCUCCUUUAAGUUGUGUAUUUUGUGUCAGUAACAAAGCCAGUGAUGAAGACGGGAAGUGACCCGGGAGGGUGUGUGUUCUCCUCAGUUUCUCUUUCUCUACUUCCUGGCUGCCGCGGGUUGAGCUGGGAGUGUGCAGCACACCCUGCCACCAUGCUGUUUCUGUCGUGGGACCAACCACAGACUGAACGCUGAAAACUGUGAGCCUGAAUAAACCCCUCUUCCUUUAAA
This is a long non-coding RNA of Cavia porcellus (domestic guinea pig), 4334 nucleotides long. RefSeq lists it as uncharacterized. The transcript is spliced from 4 exons. The record is from RefSeq and is a predicted model, not a curated record. Lineage: Eukaryota; Metazoa; Chordata; Mammalia; Rodentia; Caviidae.